This 69-nucleotide transfer RNA is filed under the name Heliconius melpomene (postman butterfly). RNAcentral describes it as "tRNA HMEL002601". Lineage: Eukaryota; Metazoa; Arthropoda; Insecta; Lepidoptera; Nymphalidae. The record is from RNAcentral.
UCGUCGAGGUGCAGUGGCAAAACGUGUGGCUUUACACGACAAUUGUGGGUUCGAUUCCCACUUGAGGAA